Molecule: ribosomal RNA, 239 nt
Filed under: uncultured eukaryote
Lineage: Eukaryota
Description: partial 18S ribosomal RNA
Rfam family: Eukaryotic small subunit ribosomal RNA
Source: RNAcentral
GGGAACCUCACCCGGCCCGGACACCGCGAGGAUUGACAGACUGAGAGCUCUUUCUCGAUUCGGUGGGUGGUGGUGCAUGGCCGUUCUUAGUUGGUGGAGCGAUCUGUCUGGUUAAUUCCGAUAACGAACGAGACCCCAACCUGCUAACUAGCCCUCGGGUCCUGCUUCUGUUGGGCCCGACGGAAUGAUUCGCUUCUUAGAGGGACUCGCGGCGCCUAGCCGCACGAAGGGGGCAAUAA